UACGACCCGAGCAGUCGCACGUGAGCGUGCGGU
RNAcentral lists this small RNA (33 nucleotides) under Bombyx mori (domestic silkworm). RNAcentral describes it as "ovarian small RNA-20975". Lineage: Eukaryota; Metazoa; Arthropoda; Insecta; Lepidoptera; Bombycidae. The record is from RNAcentral.